This 1343-nucleotide ribosomal RNA is filed under the name uncultured bacterium. RNAcentral's name for it is "16S ribosomal RNA". It matches the Rfam family "Bacterial small subunit ribosomal RNA", at positions 28 to 1378 of the family's 1533-position model. The record is from RNAcentral.
GACGAACGCUGGCGGCGUGCUUAACACAUGCAAGUCGAACGGAAAGGCCCUGCUUUUGUGGGGUGCUCGAGUGGCGAACGGGUGAGUAACACGUGAGUAACCUGCCCUUGACUUUGGGAUAACUUCAGGAAACUGGGGCUAAUACCGGAUAGGAGCUCCUGCUGCAUGGUGGGGGUUGGAAAGUUUCGGCGGUUGGGGAUGGACUCGCGGCUUAUCAGCUUGUUGGUGGGGUAGUGGCUUACCAAGGCUUUGACGGGUAGCCGGCCUGAGAGGGUGACCGGCCACAUUGGGACUGAGAUACGGCCCAGACUCCUACGGGAGGCAGCAGUGGGGAAUAUUGCACAAUGGGCGGAAGCCUGAUGCAGCAACGCCGCGUGCGGGAUGACGGCCUUCGGGUUGUAAACCGCUUUCGCCUGUGACGAAGCGUGAGUGACGGUAAUGGGUAAAGAAGCACCGGCUAACUACGUGCCAGCAGCCGCGGUGAUACGUAGGGUGCGAGCGUUGUCCGGAUUUAUUGGGCGUAAAGGGCUCGUAGGUGGUUGAUCGCGUCGGAAGUGUAAUCUUGGGGCUUAACCCUGAGCGUGCUUUCGAUACGGGUUGACUUGAGGAAGGUAGGGGAGAAUGGAAUUCCUGGUGGAGCGGUGGAAUGCGCAGAUAUCAGGAGGAACACCAGUGGCGAAGGCGGUUCUCUGGGCCUUUCCUGACGCUGAGGAGCGAAAGCGUGGGGAGCGAACAGGCUUAGAUACCCUGGUAGUCCACGCUGUAAACGGUGGGUACUAGGUGUGGGGUCCAUUCCACGGGUUCCGUGCCGUAGCUAACGCUUUAAGUACCCCGCCUGGGGAGUACGGCCGCAAGGCUAAAACUCAAAGGAAUUGACGGGGCCCCGCACAAGCGGCGGAGCAUGCGGAUUAAUUCGAUGCAACGCGUAGAACCUUACCUGGGUUUGACAUGGAUCGGGAGCGCUCAGAGAUGGGUGUGCCUCUUUUGGGGUCGGUUCACAGGUGGUGCAUGGCUGUCGUCAGCUCGUGUCGUGAGAUGUUGGGUUAAGUCCCGCAACGAGCGCAACCCUUGUUCACUGUUGCCAGCACGUUAUGGUGGGGACUCAAUGGAGACCGCCGGGGUCAACUCGGAGGAAGGUGGAGAUGACGUCUAGUCAUCAUGCCCCUUAUGUCCAGGGCUUCACGCAUGCUACAAUGGCUGGUACAGAGAGUGGCGAGCCUGUGAGGGUGAGCGAAUCUAGGAAAACCGGUCUCAGUUGGGAUGGGGGUCGCCAACUCGACCUCAAGAAGUCGGAGUCGUUAGUAAUCGCAGAUCAGCAACGCUGCGGUGAAUACGUUCCCGGG